GACGAACGCUGGCGGCGUGCUUAACACAUGCAAGUCGAGCGGUAAAGGGCCCUUUCGGGGUACGACGAGCGGCGAACGGGUGAGUAACACGUGGGUGACCUGCCCUCCAGCUCUGGGAGUAAGCCUCGGGAAACCGGGUCGUAAUAACUGGAUAUGACUCCAUGACGCAUGUUGUGGGGUGGAAAGCCUUGUUGCGGCUGAGGAUGGGCCCGCGGCCUAUCAGCUUGUUGGUGGGGU
RNAcentral lists this ribosomal RNA (237 nucleotides) under uncultured bacterium. Its description in RNAcentral is "partial 16S ribosomal RNA". It matches the Rfam family "Bacterial small subunit ribosomal RNA", at positions 28 to 258 of the family's 1533-position model. The record is from RNAcentral.